This 433-nucleotide ribosomal RNA is filed under the name uncultured bacterium. RNAcentral describes it as "partial 16S ribosomal RNA". It matches the Rfam family "Bacterial small subunit ribosomal RNA", at positions 29 to 507 of the family's 1533-position model. The record is from RNAcentral.
AACGAACGCUGGCGGCAUGCCUAACACAUGCAAGUCGAACGAGACCUUCGGGUCUAGUGGCGCAGGGGUGCGUAACGCGUGGUAACCUGCCCUUAGGUUCGGAAUCACUCCCCGAAAGGGGUGCUAAUACCGGAUAAUGUCUUAGGACAAAAGAUUUAUCGCCUUUGGAUGGGCCCGCGUUGGAUUAGCCAGUUGGUAGGGUAAAAGCCUACCAAGGCGACGAUCCAUAGCUGGUCUGAGAGGAUGAUCAGCCACACUGGGACUGAGACACGGCCCAGACUCCUACGGGAGGCAGCAGUGGGGAAUAUUGGACAAUGGGCGAAAGCCUGAUCCAGCAAUGCCGCGUGAGUGAUGAAGGCCUUAGGGUUGUAAAGCUCUUUUACCCGGGAUGAUAAUGACAGUACCGGGAGAAUAAGCUCCGGCUAACUCCGUG